GGAGGUUUAGCUCAGCGGCAUAAGCGCCUGCCUUGCAAGCAGGUAGUCCUGAGUUUGAUCCCCGGUACCGAUA
Cavia porcellus (domestic guinea pig) is the source of this 73-nucleotide transfer RNA. It matches the Rfam family "tRNA". Rfam says of the family: Transfer RNA (tRNA) molecules are approximately 80 nucleotides in length. Lineage: Eukaryota; Metazoa; Chordata; Mammalia; Rodentia; Caviidae. The record is from Rfam.